AACCUCCGCAAUGUGAGAAAUCGCGACGGGGGGAUCCCAAGUGCCAUUCUUAACGGGAUGGCUUUUCUUAAGUGUAAAAAGCUUUUGGAAUAAGAGCUGGGCAAGACCGGUGCCAGCCGCCGCGGUAACACCGGCAGCUCUAGUGGUAGCUGUUUUUAUUGGGCCUAAAGCGUCCGUAGCCGGUUUAAUAAGUCUCUGGUGAAAUCCUGUAGCUUAACUGUGGGAAUUGCUGGAGAUACUAUUAGACUUGAGACCGGGAGAGGUUAGAGGUACUCCCAGGGUAGAGGUGAAAUUCUGUAAUCCUGGGAGGACCGCCUGUUGCGAAGGCGUCUAACUGGAACGGUUCUGACGGUGAGGGACGAAAGUUAGGGGCGCGAACCGGAUUAGAUACCCGGGUAGUCCUAACUGUAAACGAUGCGGACUUGGUGUUGGGUGGCUUUGAGCUGCUCCAGUACCGAAGGGAAGCUGUUAAGUCCGCCGCCUGGGAAGUACGGUCGCAAGACUGAAACUUAAAGGAAUU
This 520-nucleotide ribosomal RNA is filed under the name uncultured bacterium. RNAcentral's name for it is "bacterial SSU rRNA". It matches the Rfam family "Archaeal small subunit ribosomal RNA", at positions 345 to 866 of the family's 1478-position model. The record is from RNAcentral.